RNAcentral lists this ribosomal RNA (1458 nucleotides) under Salmonella enterica subsp. arizonae. RNAcentral describes it as "partial 23S ribosomal RNA". It matches the Rfam family "Bacterial large subunit ribosomal RNA", at positions 1 to 1405 of the family's 2925-position model. Lineage: Bacteria; Pseudomonadati; Pseudomonadota; Gammaproteobacteria; Enterobacterales; Enterobacteriaceae. The record is from RNAcentral.
GGGUUGUGAGGUUAAGCGACCAAGCGUACACGGUGGAUGCCCUGGCAGUCAGAGGCGAUGAAGGACGUGCUAAUCUGCGAAAAGCGCCGGUAAGGUGAUAUGAACCGUUAUAACCGGCGAUGUCCGAAUGGGGAAACCCAGUGUGACUCGUCACACUAUCAUUAACUGAAUCCAUAGGUUAAUGAGGCGAACCGGGGGAACUGAAACAUCUAAGUACCCCGAGGAAAAGAAAUCAACCGAGAUUCCCCCAGUAGCGGCGAGCGAACGGGGAGGAGCCCAGAGCCUGAAUCAGCAUGUGUGUUAGUGGAAGCGUCUGGAAAGGCGCGCGAUACAGGGUGACAGCCCCGUACACAAAAGCGCAUGUGCUGUGAGCUCGAUGAGUAGGGCGGGACACGUGGUAUCCUGUCUGAAUAUGGGGGGACCAUCCUCCAAGGCUAAAUACUCCUGACUGACCGAUAGUGAACCAGUACCGUGAGGGAAAGGCGAAAAGAACCCCGGCGAGGGGAGUGAAACAGAACCUGAAACCGUGUACGUACAAGCAGUGGGAGCAUGAGUUUACUCAUGUGACUGCGUACCUUUUGUAUAAUGGGUCAGCGACUUAUAUUCUGUAGCAAGGUUAACCGAAUAGGGGAGCCGGAGGGAAACCGAGUCUUAACCGGGCGUUAAGUUGCAGGGUAUAGACCCGAAACCCGGUGAUCUAGCCAUGGGCAGGUUGAAGGUUGGGUAACACUAACUGGAGGACCGAACCGACUAAUGUUGAAAAAUUAGCGGAUGACCUGUGGCUGGGGGUGAAAGGCCAAUCAAACCGGGAGAUAGCUGGUUCUCCCCGAAAGCUAUUUAGGUAGCGCCUCGUGAAUUCAUCUCCGGGGGUAGAGCACUGUUUCGGCCAGGGGGCCAUCCCGGCUUACCAACCCGAUGCAAACUGCGAAUACCGGAGAAUGUUAUCACGGGAGACACACGGCGGGUGCUAACGUCCGUCGUGAAGAGGGAAACAACCCAGACCGCCAGCUAAGGUCCCAAAGUCAUGGUUAAGUGGGAAACGAUGUGGGAAGGCCCAGACAGCCAGGAUGUUGGCUUAGAAGCAGCCAUCAUUUAAAGAAAGCGUAAUAGCUCACUGGUCGAGUCGGCCUGCGCGGAAGAUGUAACGGGGCUAAACCAUGCACCGAAGCUGCGGCAGCGAACGUAUCACUUAAAGCGAUUCAGCGGAUGACGAUUGACGGAGCGAAGCGACGUCAAAGCGUUUUACAACGUCGAGUCGGUUUAAGGAUACGUUCGUUGGGUAGGGGAGCGUUCUGUAAGCCUGCGAAGGUGUGUCGUGAGGCAUGCUGGAGGUAUCAGAAGUGCGAAUGCUGACAUAAGUAACGAUAAUGCGGGUGAAAAACCCGCACGCCGGAAGACCAAGGGUUCCUGUCCAACGUUAAUCGGGGCAGGGUGAGUCGACCCCUAAGGCGAGGCCGA